RNAcentral lists this transfer RNA (68 nucleotides) under Podarcis lilfordi (Lilford's wall lizard). RNAcentral describes it as "tRNA.Ile". The stretch from base 3 to 60 matches the Rfam family "tRNA", at positions 9 to 63 of the family's 71-position model. From Rfam's summary of the family: Transfer RNA (tRNA) molecules are approximately 80 nucleotides in length. Their secondary structure includes four short double-helical elements and three loops (D, anti-codon, and T loops). The record is from RNAcentral. Lineage: Eukaryota; Metazoa; Chordata; Lepidosauria; Squamata; Lacertidae.
ACAGCUCAGUUGCUUAGAGUGUGAUGCUGAUAAUGUCAAGGUUGCAGGUUCGAUCCCUGUAUGGGACA